CGGUUGAUCCUGCCGGACCCUAUUGCUAUCGGGGUAAGACUAAGCCAUGCUAGUUGUGCGCUUCACAGCUAUGUUGGAGGCGCAGCAAACGGCUCCGUAACACGUAGUUAAUCUGCCCUUAGGACAGAUAUAACCUCGGGAAACUGAGGCUAAUAUCUGAUUAGUGGAAAAGCCUGGAAUGGUUUUCCGCUUAAAGGAUUUUUGGGACAUGCUUCCAAGAAUCGCCUAAGGAUGAGACUGCGUCCGAUCAGGUUGUUGGUGAGGUAACGGCUCACCAAACCUAUAACCGGUACGGGCCCUGAGAGGGGGAGCCCGGAGAUGGGAACUGAGACAAGGUCCCAGGCCCUACGGGGCGCAGCAGGCGCGAAACCUCCACAAUGCGCGAAAGCGUGAUGGGGUUACCCCGGGUGCCAUCCGUUUAGGAUGGCUUUUCCUCAGUGUAAGAAAUUGGGGGAAUAAAGGGGGGGCAAGACUGGUGUCAGCCGCCGCGGUAAUACCAGCCCCCUGAGUGAUAGGGACGAUUAUUUAGCCUAAAGCGUUCGUAGCCGGCUUAACAAGUCUUUCGUUAAAUCUAACGACUCAAUCGUUAGGCGUCGGAAGAUACUGUUAGGCUUGAGGGCGGGAGAGGUUGACGGUAUUCCUGGGGUAGGGGUGAAAUCCAAUAAUCCUGGGAGGACCACCAGUGGCGAAGGCUGUCGACCAGAACGCGCCUGACGGUGAUGGACGAAAGCUGGGGGAGCGAACCGGAUUAGACACCCGGGUAGUCCCAGCUGUAAACGAUGCGAGCUAGGGUGUUGGGGCAGCUACGAGCUGCCCCAGUGCCGCAGAGAAGUUGUUAAGCUCGCCGCUUGGGGAGUACGGCCGCAAGGUUGAAACUUAAAGGAAUUGGCGGGGGAAGCAC
This 901-nucleotide ribosomal RNA is filed under the name uncultured archaeon. RNAcentral's name for it is "bacterial SSU rRNA". It matches the Rfam family "Archaeal small subunit ribosomal RNA", at positions 5 to 879 of the family's 1478-position model. The record is from RNAcentral.